This 378-nucleotide ribosomal RNA is filed under the name uncultured Serratia sp. RNAcentral describes it as "bacterial SSU rRNA". It matches the Rfam family "Bacterial small subunit ribosomal RNA", at positions 521 to 896 of the family's 1533-position model. Lineage: Bacteria; Pseudomonadati; Pseudomonadota; Gammaproteobacteria; Enterobacterales; Yersiniaceae. The record is from RNAcentral.
UAAUACGGAGGGUGCAAGCGUUAAUCGGAAUUACUGGGCGUAAAGCGCACGCAGGCGGUUUGUUAAGUCAGAUGUGAAAUCCCCGGGCUCAACCUGGGAACUGCAUUUGAAACUGGCAAGCUAGAGUCUCGUAGAGGGGGGGUAGAAUUCCAGGUGUAGCGGUGAAAUGCGUAGAGAUCUGGAGGAAUACCGGUGGCGAAGGCGGCCCCCUGGACGAAGACUGACGCUCAGGUGCGAAAGCGUGGGGAGCAAACAGGAUUAGAUACCCUGGUAGUCCACGCUGUAAACGAUGUCGAUUUGGAGGUUGUGCCCUUGAGGCGUGGCUUCCGGAGCUAAACGCGUUAAAUCGACCGCCUGGGGAGUACGGCCGCAAGGUUA